GAUGAACGCUGGCGGCGUGCCUAAUACAUGCAAGUCGAGCGCACGGACAAGAAGCUUGCUUCUCUGAUGUUAGCGGCGGACGGGUGUGUAACACGUGGAUCCUCUACCUCUAAGACUGGGAUAAAUUCGGGAAGAUGGCGCUAAUACCGUCUAAUAUUUUGUACCGCAUGGUUCAAAUGUGAUAGACGGCCUUGCUGCUACUUAUAGAUGCAUCCGCGCUGCAUUAGCUAGUUGGUAAGGUAACGGCUUACCAAGGCAACGAUGCAUAGCCGAGCUGAGAGGGUGAUCGGCCACACUGGAACGAGGACACGGUCAAGACUCCUACGGGAGGCAGCAGUAGGGAAUCUUGCACAAUGGGCGAAAGCCUGACGGAGCAACGCCGCGUGAGUGAUGAAGGUCUUCGGAUCGUAAAACUCUGUUAUUGGGAAAGAACAGAUGUGGAAUUAACUGUGCACAUCGUGACGGUACCUAAUCAGAAAGCCACGGCUAACUACGUG
Molecule: ribosomal RNA, 497 nt
Filed under: uncultured bacterium
Lineage: Bacteria
Description: partial 16S ribosomal RNA
Rfam family: Bacterial small subunit ribosomal RNA
Source: RNAcentral